GAUGAACGCUGGCGGCGUGCCUAAUACAUGCAAGUCGAGCGAACAGACGAGGAGCUUGCUCCUCUGACGUUAGCGGCGGACGGGUGAGUAACACGUGGAUAACCUACCUAUAAGACUGGGAUAACUUCGGGAAACCGGAGCUAAUACCGGAUAAUAUAUUGAACCGCAUGGUUCGAUAGUGAAAGACGGUUUUGCUGUCACUUAUAGAUGGAUCCGCGCCGCAUUAGCUAGUUGGUAAGGUAACGGCUUACCAAGGCAACGAUGCGUAGCCGACCUGAGAGGGUGAUCGGCCACACUGGAACUGAGACACGGUCCAGACUCCUACGGGAGGCAGCAGUAGGGAAUCUUCCGCAAUGGGCGAAAGCUUGACGGAGCAACGCCGCGUGAGUGAUGAAGGUCUUCGGAUCGUAAAACUCUGUUAUUAGGGAGGAACAAAUGUGUAAGUAACUAUGCACGUCUUGACGGUACCUAAUCAGAAAGCCACGGCUAACUACGUG
Molecule: ribosomal RNA, 497 nt
Filed under: uncultured bacterium
Lineage: Bacteria
Description: partial 16S ribosomal RNA
Rfam family: Bacterial small subunit ribosomal RNA
Source: RNAcentral